Molecule: ribosomal RNA, 158 nt
Filed under: Segetibacter sp.
Lineage: Bacteria; Pseudomonadati; Bacteroidota; Chitinophagia; Chitinophagales; Chitinophagaceae
Description: partial 16S ribosomal RNA
Rfam family: Bacterial small subunit ribosomal RNA
Source: RNAcentral
UUUACAAUGGAGAGUUUGAUCCUGGCUCAGGAUGAACGCUAGCGGCAGGCUUAAUACAUGCAAGUCGAGGGGCAGCGGGGUAGCAAUACCGCCGGCGACCGGCAAACGGGUGCGGAACACGUACAGAACCUUCCUUUAAGCGGGGGAUAGCCCGAAGA